GUUGGUGCUGAUUAGGGUGAGGGUCCACCUGUUCCCAUUCCGAACACAGUAGUUAAGCUCACUUCUGCUGACAAUACUUGGCUGGCGACGGCCCGGGAAGAUAGGUAGCGCCAACA
This 116-nucleotide ribosomal RNA is filed under the name Bacillota bacterium. The record is from RNAcentral. Lineage: Bacteria; Bacillati; Bacillota.